UUUUUUUUUUUCCUUGGUACAAUGGGCUUUUAUGCACCAAACAGCUGUGUUCAUCAUGUUUAUUUAGAAGGCAUCCAUUGUAGUGGAAAAAGUCUGGAGGACAAAAAUCUUGAAGUACAAGACUACUCUGUGGGUGCUGGCAUUUUUAUUUUUUUGCUGUCCUGUUCCUUUGGUCAGUAUGCAAGUCACAUACACAGGCAGUGCCAUGCAGACUUGCAAACCCUGUAUAAUAGCAACUUUUCACAAGUGCUGUCUCUUAUUCCAAGUGUUCUUCUCCAGAAAGUUUCAAUUGCAAGGCAACAUACAGGACACACAACUAUUUUACACCCUAUGAUCCUAUCAUUUUUCAAUCUGUUGCUAUUUUGGACCCUCAUUAGGUCACUUUCCAAAUAUUGUGUACAGCUAUGUGUCAAUCAUUGUCACAGCUUGGCUCCAGGCUAAGCCAACCCAGGACAAAACCGUGAGGGGAAAAAAAAUGCCAACCAAAGCAAGCACUGUGUAGAAAACAGUCAACAGUUUGACUGUGGAAAGCUAUGUGUUGUUCCAAAGAUAGCAUAAGCCCACUUGCUGCAGAAACAGCAUACAGUACUAAUGCUCUCCAAAAUAAUUUUAUGCGGUUGAAAUGUGUAGUGUAUACCCAAUGGCAUCUGCAAAUAAACAGAUGUUAGAAUCUCAAGAAUUAAGAGCAUGACAUUGUCGGAAACUCUUGGGUGACUCCUGCCAAAAAGGCAGUCUGGUUUCCCGUUUCUGGAAAGAACAGAGCAUAUAAGAUAUUGCCAGAACUUCUUUUGAGCAACAGUAUCUCUAGCACCUUCUAAACCCUUGAAUGAAAGCUGCUGUACAAUCAGGCAGUGUUAGCCUGGGAAAUCAGAGGGUUCCCUACUUCCUUCAGGGUACAUCCAGCAGGGCAGAUGCAUUCCCAUGCCAUAGGAGAUAGCUGUGCUCCUUUCCCUCUUGUCAGGUUAUCGUGUGUUAGGACAUAGUUCAGGUGAAUACUGGAAAUAUACAAGUGUCUCCAUCAGCCACAUAGUCAAUGCCGUCGUCACAGGCUCGAAAAUGAAUGGCAACAAACUAACAUGCCUUAUCCUUUAAAAAUAAUAAAAUAUCUGUAUAGAAUGAAAUGGCUUCUUAUUUCCUGAAUGGUGAAUGCUCUUGGCUUUCUACAGAGCUGCAAUUCUCAGUUGCUGUUGCUGCUCAUGUGCCUCAGGAAACUGUAAUGAGGUUAAAAAGAGCAGAAUAAAGUUACAGCUUGUGGAUGAUAGGAAUCCACACAGAAGGUGAUUCUGGGAUCUGAAAACAGCACAGCUGGGGGGAGGCUGCACAGGGACUGACUGCUUGGAGCUGGGGCAGAGACAGGGGCCUGAAGAAGGCCUGGCAUAGCAGGCAAAUUAUCUUCCAGAAGAAAGGUUAGGGGGGAAAAUGGAAAGAACUAUGAGCCAAGUGGAAAGGGAGUGUGACAAAAGGAUUAGCUCCUACUUGCACAGAGUAUAGUAGAAGUCGAAAUGAACUCGGGAACUGUCAGGAAGAGAAAACUGUUUCUCAGAGACUGUUUCAAAGGCUUCCUGAAUGCAGACUCCAUUUACUUGUUUCUUCCUUUUUCUCCCAAAAAAUAAAGGACCUGCUGUGAGCAGAAUGUAUCUCAACUUCAAUAAACACGGGCCUGAACAGAGUCCCAAUCUGGAAUCCAUGCUGGCCGAACUCCUGGAGGCUUGCUGCUACCUGGGUACCAUAAAGCUUGAAAGCCAAGCAGGAAGGGGUAAAAUCUACAAUUUGUCAUCAACAGAUAUCUGCAGUCCCAGAGCCUGAGUUCUCCUGCAUGGCAGUGGCUGCACAGUGGUGAUCUCCCAAGGGUGUGUCUCAAGGCCACUCCUCAAGACCAAGAGAUCCCUUGCCUGGCAUCUGGAAUCUAUAGCAAGGGAUCUGGUUUAACUGAAGGCCCAGUUAUGAAGAAGGAAAACAGGUGCAUAGAGGAGUUGCAAGCUGAAGGAGUUAGAAACUAUGCGUGCCAAAA
This is a long non-coding RNA of Passer montanus (Eurasian tree sparrow), 2011 nucleotides long. RefSeq lists it as uncharacterized. The record is from RefSeq and is a predicted model, not a curated record. The transcript has 3 exons. NCBI's taxonomy places the organism in Eukaryota, Metazoa, Chordata, Aves, Passeriformes, Passeridae.